GAAAUCUUCAAUGUCAGUGAUAUGUGCAAUUAGAGUUGUUUUGUUUAAACAUGAUAUUAGACUUGUUUUACUGUUCUUGCAUGUCUUACUGUUCAUUCUAUCCAAUAGGGUAGCUGGAUGCCUAAUUGCCGAACCAAUAGAGAAGGCAUUCAAAGUCAUCUCAAAUUCAGCAGACAAUGAUGCUAUUAACACAAAAGAACAAAGAACCAAACCAACCAUCCUCCAAUUUGGGGAUAUUAGUUUUUAGAGGGAGACAGUGAAAAGAUCUCAUUAUGCUAGUAAUACUAACCUGUUGGAUGGAGACCUUGGUAGUGCAGUUGUUUGCGAGGAGGUAGAAGUGCCGGCUGUCUGUGGCAUUAGAGCAAUUUUGGUGUCUCCUGUCAACAGAAGAAAAUGAAUAGCCACUCAGUUGCUGGAUGAAGUGAGCUAUCACACAAUACCAGUUGUGUUCUCUGAGGCAAAGGGAUCAUGUAUAUGGGAUCCUGAAGGCAAAUGGUAUCUAGACUUUCUCUCUGCUUAUUCUGCAGUUAAUCAGUGCUGCUGCCUCUUCAAUGUCUGCACUAAAGCAGCCAACCGUUCGAGUUCAGGCUAUCAUUGCUAAAGGUGUACCAAGUCAGAUGCUAAGCAAUUGAUUGUGGCUAUCAUUGCAUUAUUUUCUUAUGAUCGAGUUGUGGCUAUCAUUGCAUUAUUUGCUUUUGAAAAUUUGAGAAACUUCAUGUUGCAGAAACUAUUAGUACUAAAGAAUUAUGUCAACAUGUAAUAAGAAGAAUCACUAUAACAUAUCUGUUGUGUAUGUCUCACAAUGUGGUUAUCUAGGCUAUCAAAAAGUGGUUAAAACA
Molecule: long non-coding RNA, 839 nt
Organism: Humulus lupulus (European hop)
Lineage: Eukaryota; Viridiplantae; Streptophyta; Magnoliopsida; Rosales; Cannabaceae
Exons: 3
Source: RefSeq, a predicted model, not a curated record